CCCUUUCACUUUCCUGAGGCAGCGGGGCGCCCGGCCGGGCGGUGGCGGCGGCGGCGGCGGCUCGGCCCCUCCCCCUCAUCCCCUCGCCGGUCCUCCCGCGGCCCCGGAGCGCACCCGGAGGCCCAGCCAGCCCCGGGGAGGCCGGGCGGGGACGCCGCCACGAGGAGACCCCGGGCCACCGCCGCUCAGGACUCCUCCCCGCGGUCCCCGCUCCUUGCACCUGCCUGCGGGCGCCCGGGCUUGAGUUCGAAACUGACCAAAGAAGAGCUCCCCAAGGACCCUUUGUCCUCAAGACUAACUUCUGAUUGUCACGAUUACCUGGUUGAACCAUCUUUGGCAGUCUGAUCCUCUCCGGGAAGACACAAUUGAAAAUGACCAAGACAACCUGACGUCAGAACUUCCCCAAAGACCCAUGGAUAGACAGAACGUGCUUGGUUACUAUAGGGAAACGUUGGCAUGCUGUGUGUCUUCUGGAAGAUCUGUUGAUUAUUCAGCCAUUCACCUCAUGGAUUUGGCCUUUGUGUUUCCUCAGGCACUGCUACCCUCCCCCAUCUCGCCAUCCCCCAGCAACAUCACACGACACACCUGGGAGGGGGGUGGGUGGGUGCGAGGAGAACUUUCUAUUAACGAUAUGUGAUUUCUUUGUUAGAUCUUCAUUGAUGGCAUUAUAUAGCUAUCAUAAUAAAUAACGAUACAUUAAUAAGGUACCAUUUUUGAUCCCCAGGGCAGCUCUUCGAGUUUGGAAGGGUUUAUUCCCCUCAGUUUACAGAAUAGGAAACUGAGGCUCAGGGCAGGUGAGUUGCCUGAGGUCACCAAAGCGAAUAGGCCAUGGGAACCCAGAAUUUGACAUUGGGCAUUCUGGCUCUAGGGGAGUAAUAUUUCCACUAAAUGAUAAUGACUUUAAGACCUGUUUUCCCUCCAUUUAGAUCAAUUUUUUAAAAUACUUAAAUAUUAGAUUUAAAUAAACAAAAAGUUGGGGUUAUUGUUGAAGUAUUAAAUCUCAAAAGCAGGUAAGAGCACCAUACAAUAUUUAGAUUUAAGAUGAAACACAGUUAUUUGUAUAAUUUGCAAAAACACGUUAAAAUUGGAUAUACAAAUGUACGAUGGCCAAACCAUAUAUAGAAAUAGAACUCUGACCCACAAGUUGCAGCGACAAAGGCCAGGAAACCAACCCACUAUCUACAGUAGCCAUCGCAAGAAGCCAGCCUACUGUAGGCCAGACUGGCAGGAAGUCAGUCGCUAGCUCUACUAGCUGAUCUAGCAACAAACAAUAACCCCUUUAACAAUGGGCUCCAAAUGGCCUGGACUUGAUUAUAACUGAGAGGCACCCUAAUUUUUGCCCCCCCCUUCCCCCUUAGG
Globicephala melas (long-finned pilot whale) is the source of this 1359-nucleotide long non-coding RNA. RefSeq lists it as uncharacterized. Lineage: Eukaryota; Metazoa; Chordata; Mammalia; Artiodactyla; Delphinidae. The record is from RefSeq and is a predicted model, not a curated record.